UCUCCGUUGGUGAACCAGCGGAGGGAUCAUUACAGAGUUAUCCAACUCCCAAACCCAUGUGAACUUAUCUCUUUGUUGCCUCGGCGCAAGCUACCCGGGACCUCGUGCCCCGGGCGGCCCGCCGGCGGCCAACCAAACUCUUGUUUCUACAGUGAAUCUCUGAGUAAAAAACAUAAAUGAAUCAAAACUUUCAACAACGGAUCUCUUGGUUCUGGCAUCGAUGAAGAACGCAGC
RNAcentral lists this unclassified non-coding RNA (234 nucleotides) under uncultured fungus. RNAcentral's name for it is "sequence contains ITS1, 5.8S rRNA gene". The stretch from base 186 to 234 matches the Rfam family "5.8S ribosomal RNA", at positions 1 to 49 of the family's 154-position model. Lineage: Eukaryota; Fungi. The record is from RNAcentral.